Molecule: long non-coding RNA, 1323 nt
Organism: Mirounga angustirostris (Northern elephant seal)
Lineage: Eukaryota; Metazoa; Chordata; Mammalia; Carnivora; Phocidae
Exons: 4
Source: RefSeq, a predicted model, not a curated record
CCUACUGUGUGCUCCGCGCCCGCACUGGGGGCCGUUACCGAGGGGAGAAAUAAUGCAGACUAACGUUUGUGAGAGCGCUCCCUCCACCAGAUCUCCCGCCGGCGGUGUGGUGGUUCCCACUGCACCAAGAGGAAACUGAGGCCCAGUUAGCCCGGGGAUUUACCCCGGCUGGGGAGGACCGGGUUCUGAAUGCGACGCCUCUUCUGCCCUCAGCGGCCGCUAGAGUCGGGUAGAAGGCUGCCUCGGACACAGCCCCAAAGCACGCAGCUCCUGGGUCUAGAACACAAGUGGCGGCCAGAGGUAAAAGCAGCGCUUGAGGAGUGUUCCCAACCACACAGCGACGCGGAGCGGGGCCCUCGCGCUGUUCAUUCUGGUGGAAGAUUGCCGACAACUACAUACCCCUGACCAGGUGCUGACUUCUUACAGCACCUCUGGGACCUCCGUACAGCAGGGUGUUGUAAUGGGACUGAGAAAGGAAGAUGCCUUCAGGUUCCCAGCCUGGAGACCACCAGCUCCAAGCAUUCAGGGAGGCAGCCCUACCUCCUCCAGCCCGACCAGGGGACCCCAAAUAGCAUGCUAUUCUCAAAAUCCACUUCUACCAUUACGGCAAAGUAUCCGACAUUCAAGAAAGAGAAAUAAAAAGAAAGAAUUCAAAUAGAAAAUAAGGAAGAUCCGAGGUCCUCAAGGACAGUGAUGGUAUCAAAACCUUGGAAAAGAGUUGGAUGGGAGUGUGUGGAAAUAAAAAGUUUAAACUAAAAAAGAAUUAACUAUAGAAAAUAGGGGGAGGAGAAGGUCAUUCUAAUCUCAUUGCCUGGACACAAUUACUAUUAUAUCAUUCUAUACCCAAACUUUUUAAACUGUGAUCAUUUUAGAAUUGCAACCUUGCUAAAAAGAAAUAGAAACUUCUGCUUUGGCCUUCUUACACAGUAGUGUGGUAGAAUAGAAAGAACAGUGACCCAAGACUUCAAAUCUUGAUUAAGCUGUGUGACUUUGGGCAAGUCACUUAACCUCUCUGUUCCAUCACCUCUAAAAACAGCAAUAAUAACUGCAAACAAACAAACUGCCAAAAGAAGCAACAAAGCUUCGUGAACUGUGAGGGAGUAUGUGAGAGGAAGUGCGCAAUAAAUACGGAGUGCUGAAGGGGCGCCUGGGUGGCUCAGCUGUUAAGCGUCUGCCUUCAGCUCAGGUCAUGAUCCCAGGGUCCUGGGAUCGAGCCCCGCAUUGGACUCCCUGUUCCGCGGGAAGCCUGCUUCUCCCUCUCCCACUCCCCCUGCUUGUGUUCCCUCUCUGGCUGUGUCUCUCCCUGUCAAAUAAAUAAAUAAA